Molecule: small nucleolar RNA, 131 nt
Filed under: Dasypus novemcinctus (nine-banded armadillo)
Lineage: Eukaryota; Metazoa; Chordata; Mammalia; Cingulata; Dasypodidae
Description: Small nucleolar RNA SNORA31 (ENSDNOG00000039182.1)
Rfam family: Small nucleolar RNA SNORA31
About the family: ACA31 (SNORA31) belongs to the H/ACA class of snoRNAs which are thought to guide the sites of modification of uridines to pseudouridines.
Source: RNAcentral
AUGCAUCUCUGACAGACCUGGAGUAGUGAAUAUUUGCUGCUAAGGUUUCCUUUAAAGAUACAAGAAAAAAAGGUCUUUAUGCUUUCUGUCUGUCUGAUGGUGGCAGCCAAGAUUAAAUAGGAGAUACAGGA